This 614-nucleotide long non-coding RNA is filed under the name Homo sapiens (human). RNAcentral's name for it is "non-protein coding SATB2-AS1:14". Lineage: Eukaryota; Metazoa; Chordata; Mammalia; Primates; Hominidae. The record is from RNAcentral.
AGACCCGUUCUGGAGAGAAAGGGCUGAGAACCCGGAGGCGGCGGCGGCGGCGGCGAGCCGGGGCUGCUGGUUCGCAGGGCGGCUAGCUCGCGAGGAGGCGCGGCCAGAGCGGUGGGACCGGUAACACCAAGAGCCGAGAAGACGCAGGGACCCGGGACCGCGCGCGGGAGGAAACGCGGCGGCCGCCCAAGCUGUCACCUCCAGCCUCUCCCCUCUCGGCCGCCUCUGCCAGCAGCCAGAGCCGGACUCACUGACAAGCCGCAGAGAGAGACACACUGAGAGGGAGAUGAUUAUUAGUUGCGUUGAGUCAUCAGGCAAACCUUAGGUGCCGGGCUUCAGCCGAAGCGUUUUUCAAAUUUGUCAUCAUUGGAAACCUCGGACAAGUGGAGUGUAAAAUUUUGAGGGUUUCCAGAAUCCAAGGCACUUGAAACAUUCUGAGUGUGCCUGCAGUAGGGUCUCAGAGGAGUUGCUCUGAAAGCUGUUGAGAGCAGCCACCUUUGCUGUCACUGAGAGCUUGGCAGGGUCAGCUCUGGUGGGCCGUUUGCACCCAGGCUCUGAUGGCACCAGGAUGGCUUCCUGCAACCCGACAACAUCACUCAAACAACCCUAUUACU